Molecule: ribosomal RNA, 504 nt
Filed under: Triticum aestivum (bread wheat)
Lineage: Eukaryota; Viridiplantae; Streptophyta; Magnoliopsida; Poales; Poaceae
Description: partial small subunit ribosomal RNA
Source: RNAcentral
AUGGACGACGCCUUCGGCAUGUUCUGCGAAGGGUGCUCGCCCUACGGCCCCUUCUGGGACCACUACCUCGAGUACUGGGAGGAGAGCGUGGCGAGGCCAGACACCGUCCUCUUCCUCAAGUAUGAGGAGAUCAAGUCGGACCCGGCGCGGGUUGUGAGGAGGCUCGCGAGGUUCCUCGGCGUCCCGCUGACCGAGGAGGAGGAGGGCUCCGGCGUCGCGGAGGAGGUGGCGAGGCUGUGCAGCUUCGAGACCCUCACCGGCCUGGAGGUGAACCAGGUCGGCGGCGUCAGUCACGGGAAUAAAGUUCACGUUGAUAACUCUGUGUUCUAUAGAAAGGGAGAGGUAGGGGACUGGGUGAACCACAUGAGCCGUGAGAUGGGGGAGAAGCUCGACCGUAUCGUCCAGCAGAAGCUCCAGGGGUGGGCAUAUAAAACGAUGACCGAAGUACCGAACCGAACUAACCGUGACCGAACCCGAAGGCACCGAAACCGAAUUCUUUCGUAA